AUACGUAGGGGGCGAGCGUUGUCCGGAAUGACUGGGCGUAAAGGGCGUGUAGGCGGCGGUGUAAGUCUGGAGUGAAAGUCCCGCAUUCAAUGUGGGAAUUGCUUUGGAUACUGCAGUGCUAGAGUGCGGAAGAGGUAAGUGGAAUUCCCAGUGUAGCGGUGAAAUGCGUAGAGAUUGGGAGGAACACCAGUGGCGAAGGCGACUUACUGGGCCGUAACUGACGCUGAGGCGCGAAAGCGUGGAGAGCGAACAGGAUUAGAUACCCUGGUAGUCCACGCGGUAAACGAUGAAUGCUAGGUGUUGCGGGUAUCGACCCCCGCAGUGCCGGAGUAAACACAAUAAGCAUUCCGCCUGGGGAGUACGGCCGCAAGGUUGAAACUCAAAUGAAUUGACGGGG
RNAcentral lists this ribosomal RNA (397 nucleotides) under uncultured bacterium. Its description in RNAcentral is "partial 16S ribosomal RNA". It matches the Rfam family "Bacterial small subunit ribosomal RNA", at positions 523 to 918 of the family's 1533-position model. The record is from RNAcentral.